AGCUUGCUGGGAUCGACACCGCGUGUCACCACCAGGUAGUCGCGUAGCGCGAUGCUGUGGCGGCCCUC
This 68-nucleotide small RNA is filed under the name Mycobacterium adipatum. RNAcentral's name for it is "Mycobacterium sp. YC-RL4 ASdes TB sRNA". It matches the Rfam family "ASdes TB sRNA". Lineage: Bacteria; Bacillati; Actinomycetota; Actinomycetes; Mycobacteriales; Mycobacteriaceae. The record is from Rfam by way of RNAcentral.